This 252-nucleotide ribosomal RNA is filed under the name uncultured bacterium. RNAcentral describes it as "partial 16S ribosomal RNA". It matches the Rfam family "Bacterial small subunit ribosomal RNA", at positions 524 to 776 of the family's 1533-position model. The record is from RNAcentral.
UACGUAGGGUGCAAGCGUUAAUCGGAAUUACUGGGCGUAAAGCGUGCGCAGGCGGUUUUGUAAGUCUGUCGUGAAAGCCCCGGGCUCAACCUGGGAAUUGCGAUGGAGACUGCAAGGCUUGAAUCUGGCAGAGGGGGGUAGAAUUCCACGUGUAGCAGUGAAUGCGUAGAGAUGUGGAGGAACACCGAUGGCGAAGGCAGCCCCCUGGGUCAAGAUUGACGCUCAUGCACGAAAGCGUGGGGAGCAAACAGG